GAUGAAGAACGUAGCAAAAUGCGAUAAGUAGUGUGAAUUGCAGAAUUCAGUGAAUCAUCGAAUCUUUGAACGCACAUUGCGCCCCUUGGUAUUCCAUGGGGCAUGCCUGUUCGAGCGUCAUUGACACCCUCAAGCUCUGCUUGGUGUUGGGCCGUUGUCGUUUCCUCGCCCCCCCCCGGGCGACACAGCGAUACCCCUCAAAGUCAUUGGCGGCUUUCCUGCCCAGCUUUCCCGCGCAGCAGUUCGCGCUUCGGAGACCACUUGGCAGGUUGGCAUCCAUCAAGCUGACCCCUCACGCUUGACCUCGGAUCAGGUAGGGACUACCCGCUGAACUUAAGCAUAUCAAUAAGCGGAGGA
This 357-nucleotide unclassified non-coding RNA is filed under the name soil metagenome. RNAcentral's name for it is "partial contains 5.8S ribosomal RNA, internal transcribed spacer 2, and large subunit ribosomal RNA". The stretch from base 1 to 120 matches the Rfam family "5.8S ribosomal RNA", at positions 35 to 154 of the family's 154-position model. The record is from RNAcentral.